CCUACGGGAGGCAGCAGUGGGGAAUAUUGCACAAUGGGGGAAACCCUGAUGCAGCGACGCCGCGUGAGUGAAGAAGUCUUUCGGUAUGUAAAGCCCUAUUAGCAGGGAAGAAAAUGACGGUACCUGAAUCAGAAGCCCCGGCUAAAUACGUGCCAGCAGCCGCGGUUAUCCGUAGGGGGCAAGCGUUAUCCGGAUUUACUGGGUUUAAAGGGAGCGUAGACGGCAGUACAAGUCUGGAGUGAAAUGCCGGGGCUUAACCCCGGAACGGCCUUUGAAACUGUGGAGCUAGAGUGCAGGAGAGGUAAGUGGAAUGCCUGGUGUAGCGGUGAAAUGCGUAGAUAUUAGGAAGAACACCAGUUGCGAAGGCGGCUUACUGGACUGUAACUGACGUUGAGGCUCGAAAGCGUGGGGAGCGAACAGGAUUAGAUACCCGAGUAGUC
Molecule: ribosomal RNA, 440 nt
Filed under: uncultured bacterium
Lineage: Bacteria
Description: partial 16S ribosomal RNA
Rfam family: Bacterial small subunit ribosomal RNA
Source: RNAcentral